GAUGAACGCUGGCGGCGUGCUUAACACAUGCAAGUCGAACGGAAAGGCCCAAGCUUGCUUGGGUACUCGAGUGGCGAACGGGUGAGUAACACGUGGGUGAUCUGCCCUGCACUUCGGGAUAAGCCUGGGAAACUGGGUCUAAUACCGGAUAGGACGAUGGUUUGGAUGCCAUUGUGGAAAGUUUUUUCGGUGUGGGAUGAGCUCGCGGCCUAUCAGCUUGUUGGUGGGGUAAUGGCCUACCAAGGCGUCGACGGGUAGCCGGCCUGAGAGGGUGUACGGCCACAUUGGGACUGAGAGACGGACCAGACUCCGACGGGAGGCAGCAGUGGGGAAUAUUGCACAAUGGGCGCAAGCCUGAUGCGGCGACGCCGCGUGGGGGAUGACGGCCUUCGGGUUGUAAACUCCUUUCGCUAGGGACGAAGCUUAUUUUGUGACGGUACCUGGAGAAGAAGCACCGGCUAACUACGUGCCAGCCGCCGCCGUAA
RNAcentral lists this ribosomal RNA (485 nucleotides) under uncultured bacterium. RNAcentral's name for it is "partial 16S ribosomal RNA". It matches the Rfam family "Bacterial small subunit ribosomal RNA", at positions 28 to 523 of the family's 1533-position model. The record is from RNAcentral.